GUGCACGCUGGCGGUCGGCCUAACACAUGCAAGUCGCACGGCAGCACAGUAAGAGCUUGCUCUUACGGGUGGCGAGUGGCGGACGGGUGAGGAAUACAUCGGAAUCUACUUUUUCGUGGGGGAUAACGUAGGGAAACUUACGCUAAUACCGCAUACGACCUACGGGUGAAAGCAGGGGAUCUUCGGACCUUGCGCGAUUGAAUGAGCCGAUGUCGGAUUAGCUAGUUGGCGGGGUAAAGGCCCACCAAGGCGACGAUCCGUAGCUGGUCUGAGAGGAUGAUCAGCCACACUGGAACUGAGACACGGUCCAGACUCCUACGGGAGGCAGCAGUGGGGAAUAUUGGACAAUGGGCGCAAGCCUGAUCCAGCCAUACCGCGUGGGUGAAGAAGGCCUUCGGGUUGUAAAGCCCUUUUGUUGGGAAAGAAAAGCAGCAGGUUAAUACCCCGCUGUUCUGACGGUACCCAAAGAAUAAGCACCGGCUAACUUCGUG
This 491-nucleotide ribosomal RNA is filed under the name uncultured bacterium. RNAcentral describes it as "partial 16S ribosomal RNA". It matches the Rfam family "Bacterial small subunit ribosomal RNA", at positions 29 to 507 of the family's 1533-position model. The record is from RNAcentral.